UGGGGAAUAUUGCACAAUGGGGGAAACCCUGAUGCAGCGACGCCGCGUGAGCGAAGAAGUAUUUCGGUAUGUAAAGCUCUAUCAGCAGGGAAGAAAAAAAUGACGGUACCUGACUAAGAAGCACCGGCUAAAUACGUGCC
This 140-nucleotide ribosomal RNA is filed under the name uncultured bacterium. RNAcentral's name for it is "partial 16S ribosomal RNA". It matches the Rfam family "Bacterial small subunit ribosomal RNA", at positions 355 to 509 of the family's 1533-position model. The record is from RNAcentral.